GACGAACGCUGGCGGCGUGCUUAACACAUGCAAGUCGAACGCUGAAGCUCAGCUUUUGUUGGGUGGAUGAGUGGCGAACGGGUGAGUAACACGUGAGUAACCUGCCCCCUUCUUUGGGAUAACGCCCGGAAACGGGUGCUAAUACUGGAUAUUCACUGGUCUUCGCAUGGGGGUUGGUGGAAAGGGUUUUUCUGGUGGGGGAUGGGCUCGCGGCCUAUCAGCUUGUUGGUGGGGUGAUGGCCUACCAAGGCUUUGACGGGUAGCCGGCCUGAGAGGGUGACCGGUCACAUUGGGACUGAGAUACGGCCCAGACUCCUACGGGAGGCAGCAGUGGGGAAUAUUGCGCAAUGGGCGCAAGCCUGAUGCAGCGACGGCGCGUGAGGGAUGGAGGCCUUCGGGUUGUGAACCUCUUUCGCUCAUGGUCAAGCCGCAACAAUGGUUGUGGUGAGGGUAGUGGGUAAAGAAGCGCCGGCUAACUACGUG
Molecule: ribosomal RNA, 483 nt
Filed under: uncultured bacterium
Lineage: Bacteria
Description: partial 16S ribosomal RNA
Rfam family: Bacterial small subunit ribosomal RNA
Source: RNAcentral